GUGGACUGCAUCAUUUCUCCUAGUCUAAUAUUCUAAGACUUGCAGGAUGAUAAUUUAGGUUGAGCUGGGUAAAGUCAGCUUCUACUAUAAUCUCUAAGAAGAUUCCAGUAACAUGUGGAGGAAUCAUGUGUGCAUUAUUGCUUCCUAAGAUGCCUGCACAUCAUUCCUGAAAAUUACAGGCUUUUUCAUCCAUCUGUAAGCAUGUACUAACUCUGAAAAAUGGAAGGGCAGAAGUCUACCAGUGUAGCUCUGAUUCUCUUUGCUACCCAAAGACAAAACUUCAAGGUUGCUUACCUUAGAAAAAAUCACCUGCCAUUCAUGAGGGAGUCCUGUAGAGAGGCAAGCCAGUGGCUGUGUAAGCAAGAAGGUCUCCCAGUUGUGCCUUCAGAUGAAACUGCAGUCAGAACCAGCAGUGACCCUGAGUGAAUGACCUCAUGAGUGACUCUGAGCCUUGAAUCCUCAGGUAAACUACAUCCAGACUCCACCCACAGAAUUAAUAUAUAUUUGUUACUUUAAAUUACUAAGUUUGUGGAAUAAUUUUUUAAACAUAGAAUUAGGUCAUUCAAACAGACAUUGUUACAAAGGACAGAACACUGGUCCUUUGACUAGGGAAACCAGAGGGGUAGCACUCACUUAAAACCUAUUAGUUAAAAAAAAAAAAAACCUAUUAGUUAUAACUUAGUUCUACUUAUGAGGGUUUAACAUUACCCUUUCACAUGUAUUCGUUCGUUUGGUUAAUCCAAG
This 744-nucleotide long non-coding RNA is filed under the name Vulpes vulpes (red fox). RNAcentral's name for it is "lncRNA (ENSVVUG00000019408.1)". Lineage: Eukaryota; Metazoa; Chordata; Mammalia; Carnivora; Canidae. The record is from RNAcentral.